CCUACGGGAGGCAGCAGUGGGGAAUAUUGCACAAUGGGGGAAACCCUGAUGCAGCGACGCCGCGUGAGUGAAGAAGUAAUUCGUUAUGUAAAGCUCUAUCAGCAGGGAAGAAAAUGACGGUACCUGAGUAAGAAGCCCCGGCUAACUACGUGCCAGCAGCCGCGGUAAUACGUAGGGGGCAAGCGUUAUCCGGAUUUACUGGGUGUAAAGGGAGCGUAGACGGCAGUGCAAGUCUGGAGUGAAAGGCGGGGGCUCAACCCGCGGACUGCUCUGGAAACUGUACGGCUGGAGUGCAGGAGAGGUAAGUGGAAUUCCUAGUGUAGCGGUGAAAUGCGGAGAGAUUAGGAGGAACACCAGUGGCGAAGGCGGCUUACUGGACUGUAACUGACGUUGAGGCUCGAAAGCGUGGGGAGCAAACAGGAUUAGAUACCCGAGUAGUC
Molecule: ribosomal RNA, 440 nt
Filed under: uncultured bacterium
Lineage: Bacteria
Description: partial 16S ribosomal RNA
Rfam family: Bacterial small subunit ribosomal RNA
Source: RNAcentral